ACUUAUCUUAUAUAUAAAAAUGAAUCGCUAAAAUCGUUGGUAAGCGCAUAACUCGAGAACGCGUGGACCAAUUUGGCCAAUUCUUUUUUUGUAAUAUUCGUCGAAGUUCAAGGAUGGUUUUUACGGCGAGAAAAUAUCAAAUAAUUGACGGAAAAGCCCUAAAAACAGCCCUUUUCUUUAUCCCAUACAAACGUUUUCUAACUAAUACGUAGAGUCAAUUUGAGCUUUAUUGCUAUUGGAUAAAGUUCAUAUUGCUAUUGGAUAUUAAAAAACAAAUGCUAUUAGAUAAGUGUGCGUUGGAGACUUGGAGCACAGAAUCCCUACUAAUAUUAUAAAUGCGAAAGUAACUCUGUCUGUCUGUAAUUACGCUUUCACGCCUAAACCAGUGAACCGAUUUUGAUAAAAUUUGGUAGUGAGAUAGAAUAGCCUUACUUGAUACUUUAUAUUGAAUGAGAAUGGGUAAAAGUAGGGGAUAAAUGGUCAUAUGGAAAUUCGUCAUUUUAAAAGCUGUAACAGUAAAACUUUGUAUUUAGAUACUUAAUGAGGAACGAAAGAACAUGGUCUACUUUUUAUUGCAAAAAAAUUGGGGAGAGUGGGUAAAAAUAGGGGAUAAAUGGUCAUAUGGAAAUUCGUCAUUUUUAAAGCUGUAACAGUGAAAUUUUGUGUUUAGACACUUAAUGAGGAGCGAAAGAACAUAGGCUACUGUUUAAUAAAAAGGGUAGAAGGCGUAGAACGCUUGAUAGAGGAGAUUAAUGUUUGCUUGAAAAUUCGUCAUUUUCGGUAAUACGUUGCCUGUGGCUUCACUCGCGUUCGAUUCUUAUUUAAAUACACAUCUACUUAUUUAAAUCGCCAAAAUCCCUACUACCAUACUAAUGUUAUGAAUGCGAAAGUAACCCUGUUUGUGUUGAGGUUAUGCUUGCACGAAUGUUUUUUUUUUUGGAAUAUAACAACGAAACAAUGUAUUUUUUAUUGAUAGGCAAUAUAUAGGAAAUUAAAGGAUAAUAAUAUAGAUAACCUUGGCUAUUUUUCAUCAUGAUUAUAAAAUGAUGAAUCGGCGGUCGUGGUUUCUUUGGAAUACAUAUCUUUAAAAAUGCUAACAGUAACAUAUUCUCAAGUAAUUCACAUUUUAGAUGACAUACGGCAGCAUUUUGACCACUAACACCACAACGCGGACGAAGUCGCGGGCAAAAGCUAGAUUCAAUAAAUUUUCAUUUGUACAUGUCAAAUAUUUGUUGUUUCUAAAUUCAAAUUUUGUAAAUAAUGAUUGACAUUUAUGCAUAAACUAUGAAAAGGAUGAAUAAAAAAUUGUCUGUAUUUUUUUUAAUCUAUUGAAAAUGUUGAAAAGUGCAUUAAGCAUUAAUAGAAAUUCCUCAAAUAUUUAUGCAAGCGUUCAGAAAUAAUGACAAAUUAUCAACAGUUACCCGUGUGUUCAGAAAUUAAUUUUGUGUAAAUUAAAAUUUUUAUUCACGUUUCCGAACAAACGAUGCUCUUUCAAUAUAGUCUAUUGGUGUGAAUGACAUUGACAUUCGUAUUGCGCGUUUUUUUAAAUAUACAAAAUUAAAUGUAUAUUUUUCAAUAUUUCUGAGAGAUUAUCUUAAUAUUUCUUCGAGUUUUAAAGACUAAGAAGAUUUUUAUUUGCUAACUAGCUGACCCAGCGAACUUCGUACCGCUUUCGCGUAGCAAUGAUGCUCUACUUUAUUUUGUAAGGUAAGUUCAUAUCUUCAUGUUGAUUUUUAGUCACUUUUGGUGACUACACAAUACUACAAUUUGGUAUACAUGGUUAUGCAGAAAAUGUAUGAGAGCUUUUUAUUUUCAGUUGGAAUUUCGUUUUUAACAAUGCUACCAACCAGACGUACAAGCUUAGGCCGCAGAACUCGAAAUACGGCAAGUCAAAGAAAUAUAAGAGCAAAUCAUACUGAUGAGUAACGCAAAGCGCGAAAUGAACUUGAACUGAAUCGAUAUCAAGAUAGAAAUGUUGUGUUUAAUCCCCACAAAGCUGCAUUCAGUUAUAAUGUGGCAAUUGAUUACAGUUCAGAGCAAAUUGUUGCUAUUGGACUAAUGAACAUUGUAUGUCCACAUUGGGAUUGAAAUUAAAAAAUGAAGCCUCUGGAUUGUGUUGCGCCAGCGGCCAAGUCAAAUUGACGCCAUUGGUACCGCCACCAGAGCCACUACAUUCAUUGGUUCAUUUUUUGACUCAUAUCCAACAGUACAAUAAUUGCUUUCAAAUGACAUCAUUUGGGGCAACAAAAGUUAUACGAGACAAUUUUUUGCCUACUUUUAGCAAAUUCAGGGAUUCAAAUAUAUCAUCAAACAGGUUCCUUAUUGCCAGUCCCUGUUGAAGACUGUACAUUUUUGCAAUUAUAUUUUAUGGACAAUUCAGCAAGAGAAGUCGAUCAGCGUUGCGCACACAACAACUCAGUAAAGAGAUCCAUUGUGAUGAACAACAUCAAACAUUUUUCCUUCAACACAAUGAAUUAGUUGCAUUAGACCGAUGCAUUAGACAUUCACAAAUGCAUUAGACCGCAUGCCAUCAGAUAAUCACAAAAUUGUCAUCAGAGCCGAUAUUAAGGCGCCUGCAGGACAGUGAAAUUAUUAAAUCCUUUGAAAUAAACAUUAUUAUGAAAA
Spodoptera frugiperda (fall armyworm) is the source of this 2625-nucleotide long non-coding RNA. RefSeq lists it as uncharacterized. The transcript is spliced from 2 exons. NCBI's taxonomy places the organism in Eukaryota, Metazoa, Arthropoda, Insecta, Lepidoptera, Noctuidae. The record is from RefSeq and is a predicted model, not a curated record.